RNAcentral lists this small RNA (29 nucleotides) under Bombyx mori (domestic silkworm). Its description in RNAcentral is "ovarian small RNA-23305". The record is from RNAcentral. Lineage: Eukaryota; Metazoa; Arthropoda; Insecta; Lepidoptera; Bombycidae.
UAUACAUACUAAUUGAAACCUGCGAAACU